GGUGAGCUCUUGGUACCUUGGC
RNAcentral lists this microRNA (22 nucleotides) under Mus musculus (house mouse). RNAcentral's name for it is "mmu-miR-7220-5p". The record is from miRBase by way of RNAcentral. Lineage: Eukaryota; Metazoa; Chordata; Mammalia; Rodentia; Muridae.